GCCCCAGUAGCUCAGCGGAUAGAGCAGCCGCCUCCUAAGCGAAAGGUCGCAGGUUCGACUCCUGCCUGGGGCGCCC
This 76-nucleotide transfer RNA is filed under the name Nocardioides sp. JS614. RNAcentral describes it as "tRNA-Arg-CCT-1-1". It matches the Rfam family "tRNA". From Rfam's summary of the family: Transfer RNA (tRNA) molecules are approximately 80 nucleotides in length. Their secondary structure includes four short double-helical elements and three loops (D, anti-codon, and T loops). Lineage: Bacteria; Bacillati; Actinomycetota; Actinomycetes; Propionibacteriales; Nocardioidaceae. The record is from RNAcentral.